This 194-nucleotide transfer RNA is filed under the name Marmota monax (woodchuck). Its description in RNAcentral is "tRNA.Gly". The record is from RNAcentral. Lineage: Eukaryota; Metazoa; Chordata; Mammalia; Rodentia; Sciuridae.
GGGAGUAUAGCUCAGUGGUAGAGUGCCUCAAUACCAUAGAAACUUAAAAUUUAAAAAAAAGUAUACUGUUUAACUCUAAAGCCACUUACAUAUAUAUUUAAAAAUAUAUAUUGUAGUUGUAGAUGGACACAAUACCUUUAUUUUGUUUAUUUAUUUUUUAAUGUGGUGCUGAGGAUUGAACCCAGGUCCUCUCA